GCACUUUUAGCACAUAUACUAAAACUGGAACGAUGCAGAGAUUAGCAUGGCCCCUGCGCAAGGAUGACACACAAAUUCGUGAAGCAUUCCAUAUUAUA
RNAcentral lists this small nuclear RNA (98 nucleotides) under Rhinolophus ferrumequinum (greater horseshoe bat). Lineage: Eukaryota; Metazoa; Chordata; Mammalia; Chiroptera; Rhinolophidae. The record is from RNAcentral.